Molecule: long non-coding RNA, 1856 nt
Organism: Panthera uncia (snow leopard)
Lineage: Eukaryota; Metazoa; Chordata; Mammalia; Carnivora; Felidae
Exons: 3
Source: RefSeq, a predicted model, not a curated record
UCAAGCAAGCUCCACACUGUCAGCAUGGAGCCCAAUGUGGGGCUCAAACCCACAAACCAUGAGAUCAUGACCUAAGCUGAAGUUGGACCCUCAACAACUGAGCCAUCCAGGUGCCCUGGGAGCCUCAAUAGUUUAUGAUCUCCCCUAAGGAGAGUUUGUAAAGUGGCAACUAAAGAGCUCAGGUUGGAGUCCUUAGGAACUCCCAAAUGGCAUGAACAGCAGAGGAGAAAGAGCCAUUGGAGGAAAUUGAGAAGGGGCCACCAAAGUAGGCAGUCACCAGGAGGGUGUGACAUCACAAAGCCAGCAAAAGAGGAGGUGUCACAAAGGGUGAUCAGUUGUGUCAAACACUACUAAGAAGUUGAGCUUUAAGUCUGGAUUUAAGAACACGUUAGAUAUAGCAGCAUAAAAGUCUUUGUUGAUCUUAAUAGGAAUAUACUCAGAUAAGUGGAGGCAACAAUCUCUCAGGUAGAAGGUGAAAGGCCUCUUGAAGCCAGACCAGCCAGUUUUUGUAGCAGGCUCUGCUUUAUUCCUAGAGUGGAUCGAGAAGUCAGUGCAUUAUCUCAUGUGAUCCUUCUACAAUCAUGUAAGUGGUGUUCAUGCAGUUAACAUUUGAUAGGAAUCCAGUCAAGUAGAACCCUUCUACCAGAGCUAGCUGCUCCAAACAUCACGCCCAGGCAAAUGGCUGCUACAUCUGAACCAAAGGCUAGGACCUCGAUCCUUUCUCAGCAACGUCUGACUUGUCAUCUGCCUCAUGAGCCAUCUCCUCCCAUCACCCUGAGCUCCACACACCCAAUCCCCACAUCCUCACUUCUUCCUGCCCUAAGUAAAUAUACCCAUCCCCCAAUUUGGGGUCCUUCCCAAGUUUGAAACAAUCUGCGUGAUCCCACCCUUCCUGCCAGCCAGGCCACCUACAACAUCAAUUCAAGUCCUGUGUGCCUCACCUCUGAAAUGUCUCUCAUCCUUCCCCCUGCCCAUCCUUCCUUUUGAUUUCCUCUCUCUGCACCGCCUGAUAUGUGUGCCUCAGUUGUUUCCCUGUCAGUCAUCUGACCUUUAGUCUCUGUCCACUUCAGUCUACCACCAGCCACUCUGAGACCUCAACACUCUCUCACAAGCUCAUGCACCGUCACGCUCCUGGCCUUCAAAUCUCUGUGAGGCUCUUUUUGCCUGGUGAACAACUUAACCUCCUGUGCACGGCAUCCAAGAACUUCUGGGCCCUGGAUACAUUGUUGUUCCAAGGUUACAUCACAUGAAUCUACUACAGAACUUUCUGCUUCAAUCAGAGUAGGCCACACACACCUUGCCCCAAAAAAGUCUGUGUCGUCCCCACACCUUGUUUUUGCCUUCUCUACCGGACAUAAGCCUUUGUCAAGCAUCUCUAUCUGCCGGCUUUGACCUGCUUUGAACACCCUUUCCCAGGAACCAUCCCAGAAGAGCCUGUCUUCAGCAGGGAAUGAUUUCCAACCUUGCCUUCAUUCUUUGAGCAAUGAGCUUAAACUUCUCUUAGCAUGAUAUUUUAUUUUUAGAGCCAUACCUUUAUUCCCUAAACAGAAUGAAAACUCCAGGAGGACAGGCAAAAUGUUUUCUUCCUCUUUUGACAUAAUAGACAACAAAAUACAGUGGAAAGAAUAUGGGUUUUAGAGCCAGCAAGUAUGACUUUGAAUCCUGACUCUGCUACUUACCGGUUCUUACCUUGACCUUACCAUACCUUAACCACUCUGAGCCUGUUUUCUCAUCUGUAAAGUGGGGGUGAUGCUAAGUAAUAUGAGCAUUAGCCUUUAGUGAGAAUAAAAUGAUAUAAUGUAUAUAUUCAAGAUAUAUCUUUCAAAAAGCAUUUGUUUUACCACUUCUCUUUAUAU